This 252-nucleotide ribosomal RNA is filed under the name uncultured bacterium. RNAcentral's name for it is "partial 16S ribosomal RNA". It matches the Rfam family "Bacterial small subunit ribosomal RNA", at positions 524 to 776 of the family's 1533-position model. The record is from RNAcentral.
UACGGAGGAUCCAAGCGUUAUCCGGGUUUAUUGGGUUUAAAGGGUGCGUAGGUGGCCUGUUAAGUCAGGGGUGAAAGACGGUAGCUUAACUAUCGCAGUGCCCUUGAUACUGAUGGGCUUGAAUGAACUAGAGGUAGGCGGAAUGUACAAGUAGCGGUGAAAUGCAUAGAUAUGUCACAGAACACCAAUUGCGAAGGCAGCUUACUAUGGUUUUAUUGACACUGAGGCACGAAAGCGUGGGGAUCAAACAGG